AACGAACGCUGGCGGCAUGCCUAACACAUGCAAGUCGAACGAGAUCUUCGGGUCUAGUGGCGCACGGGUGCGUAACGCGUGGGAAUCUGCCCUUUGGUUCGGAAUAACAGUUGGAAACGACUGCUAAUACCGUAUGAUGACGAAAGGCCAAAGAUUUAUCGCCAGUGGAUGAGCCAGCGUAGGAUUAGCUAGUUGGUGUGGUAAAGGCGCACCAAGGCGACGAUCCUUAGCUGGUCUGAGAGGAUGAUCAGCCACACUGGGACUGAGACACGGCCCAGACUCCUACGGGAGGCAGCAGUGGGGAAUAUUGGACAAUGGGCGAAAGCCUGAUCCAGCAAUGCCGCGUGAGUGAUGAAGGCCUUAGGGUUGUAAAGCUCUUUUACCCGGGAUGAUAAUGACAGUACCGGGAGAAUAAGCUCCGGCUAACUCCGUGCCAGCCGCCGCCGUAA
Molecule: ribosomal RNA, 449 nt
Filed under: uncultured bacterium
Lineage: Bacteria
Description: partial 16S ribosomal RNA
Rfam family: Bacterial small subunit ribosomal RNA
Source: RNAcentral